GACGAACGCUGGCGGCAUGCUUAACACAUGCAAGUCGAACGGGACGGCCCUGCCUAUGUGGGCUGGUCGAGUGGAGACCGGGUGAGUUACACGUGGGUAAGCUGCCCCUGACUUUGGGAUCACUUAAGGCCACUGGGGCUAAUCCCAGCUAGGAGCUCUCGCCGCAGGGUGGGGGUUGGAAAGUUUAGGCGGUUGGGGAGGGACUCGCCGCCUAUCAGCUUGAUGGUGGGGUAGUGGGAUACCAUGGCCUUGACGGGUAGCCGGGCUGGGAGGGUGACAGGCCACACUGGGAUUGGGAUGCGGCCCAGACUCCUACGGGACGCAGCGGAGGGGAAGAUUAUACUAGGGGCGGAGGCCAAAUGCAGCAACGCCGCGUGGGGGAUGACGGCCUUCGGGUUGUAAACCACUUUUGCCUGUGCCGAGGCGUGAGUGACGGUAACGGGUAAAUAAGCACCGGCUAACUACGUG
Molecule: ribosomal RNA, 468 nt
Filed under: uncultured bacterium
Lineage: Bacteria
Description: partial 16S ribosomal RNA
Rfam family: Bacterial small subunit ribosomal RNA
Source: RNAcentral